AACACACAUGCCCCUUCCCAGUCCUGUGGUAACUCCGAAUAGGCCUUCUUACCACAGAUCCAGUACAAAUUCGCUGGGGCUCUCCAGUUAGAUGUGAUAGAUAGAUCAAACCAUACGUCCUUUAAAUUGGCAUAUCUUGCAAACGGGUUAGAUGGUUCUGAGACAUUUGAAGCCGACCACCAAGUUGUAUUCUUUGUAUCAUCAUCAUAAGCUUUUUGCCCUAGACAAGUUAAUUCUCCUACAGAAGUAUUAUACAUCAUUCCUUUCCUUGCUAUGCAAACAUAACCUAUGAUGGAGGUCUUCAAUCUCCACUCAGAUUUACCUCUAACACUCAUAUGAUAGUCGGCUUGUAUAGAUAUUAAUUGGUCAACUGCCUCAGAACCGGACAUUACCUCCUUUGCUUCCCAAGGCCAUUGGUCUCCC
Molecule: non-coding RNA, 423 nt
Organism: Pelobates cultripes (western spadefoot toad)
Lineage: Eukaryota; Metazoa; Chordata; Amphibia; Anura; Pelobatidae
Source: the annotation of a GenBank genome assembly